GACGAACGCUGGCGGCGUGCCUAAUACAUGCAAGUUGAGCGAUGAAGAUUGGUGCUUGCACCAAUUUGAAGAGCAGCGAACGGGUGAGUAACGCGUGGGGAAUCUGCCUUUGAGCGGGGGACAACAUUUGGAAACGAAUGCUAAUACCGCAUAACAACUUUAAACAUAAGUUUUAAGUUUGAAAGAUGCAAUUGCAUCACUCAAAGAUGAUCCCGCGUUGUAUUAGCUAGUUGGUGAGGUAAAGGCUCACCAAGGCGAUGAUACAUAGCCGACCUGAGAGGGUGAUCGGCCACAUUGGGACUGAGACACGGCCCAAACUCCUACAGGAGGCAGCAGUAGGGAAUCUUCGGCAAUGGACGAAAGUCUGACCGAGCAACGCCGCGUGAGUGAAGAAGGUUUUCGGAUCGUAAAACUCUGUUGGUAGAGAAGAACGUUGGUGAGAGUGGAAAGCUCAUCAAGUGACGGUAACUACCCAGAAAGGGACGGCUAACUACGUG
Molecule: ribosomal RNA, 497 nt
Filed under: uncultured bacterium
Lineage: Bacteria
Description: partial 16S ribosomal RNA
Rfam family: Bacterial small subunit ribosomal RNA
Source: RNAcentral